RNAcentral lists this small nucleolar RNA (99 nucleotides) under Chlamydomonas reinhardtii. RNAcentral describes it as "CrCD73b snoRNA". It matches the Rfam family "Small nucleolar RNA Z43". Rfam says of the family: Z43 is a member of the C/D class of snoRNA which contain the C (UGAUGA) and D (CUGA) box motifs. Most of the members of the box C/D family function in directing site-specific 2'-O-methylation of substrate RNAs. Lineage: Eukaryota; Viridiplantae; Chlorophyta; Chlorophyceae; Chlamydomonadales; Chlamydomonadaceae. The record is from RNAcentral.
GCAAGCUAUGAUGGUUAUGUCUCGUUCGGUGUAUUGGCGAUAAUCCAACAAAGCCAUGCCGACAAACUCUACAUAUCACCACUCACAAUCUGAGCUUGC